Molecule: ribosomal RNA, 498 nt
Filed under: uncultured bacterium
Lineage: Bacteria
Description: partial 16S ribosomal RNA
Rfam family: Bacterial small subunit ribosomal RNA
Source: RNAcentral
GACGAACGCUGGCGGCGUGCCUAACACAUGCAAGUCGAGCGGAGAUGAUGUGAGGAAGCUUUCGGAUGGAAUCACAUUAUUUUAGCGGCGGACGGGUGAGUAACGCGUGAGCGACCAACCUUGCACAGGGGGAUAACGGACCGAACGGUUUACUAAUACCGCAUGAGACCACGGUGUUGCAUGACACAGAGGUCAAAGGAGCAAUCCGGUGCAAGACGGGCUCGCGUCCGAUUAGGUAGUUGGAGGGGUAACGGCCCACCAAGCCUAUGAUCGGUAGCCGACCUGAGAGGGUGAUCGGCCACAUUGGAACUGAGAUACGGUCCAAACUCCUACGGGAGGCAGCAGUGGGGAAUAUUGGGCAAUGGGGGAAACCCUGACCCAGCAACGCCGCGUGAAGGAAGAAGGUUUUCGGAUUGUAAACUUCUGUCCUUGGUGAAGAGAAGAAGACGGUAGCCAAGGAGGAAGCCCCGGCUAACUACGUGCCAGCCGCCGCAGUAA